RNAcentral lists this ribosomal RNA (273 nucleotides) under uncultured bacterium. RNAcentral's name for it is "partial 16S ribosomal RNA". It matches the Rfam family "Bacterial small subunit ribosomal RNA", at positions 523 to 796 of the family's 1533-position model. The record is from RNAcentral.
AUACGAAGGGGGCUAGCGUUGUUCGGAAUCACUGGGCGUAAAGCGCGCGUAGGUGGAUCAAUUAGUUGAGGGUGAAAUCCCGGGGCUCAACCUCGGAACUGCCUUCAAUACUGUUGAUCUUGAGACCGAGAGAGGUGAGUGGAAUUCCUAGUGUAGAGGUGAAAUUCGUAGAUAUUAGGAAGAACACCAGUGGCGAAGGCGGCUCACUGGCUCGGUACUGACGCUGAGGUGCGAAAGCGUGGGGAGCAAACAGGAUUAGAAACCCCAGUGUCC